Non-coding RNA from Theobroma umbraticum, 872 nucleotides. NCBI's taxonomy places the organism in Eukaryota, Viridiplantae, Streptophyta, Magnoliopsida, Malvales, Malvaceae. The record is from RefSeq and is a predicted model, not a curated record.
AAAAACCCUACCCCCGAUAACUCCCUGAGAAAGAUAGUCGGAAAGUAGACAAUCGAAGAGAAAGAAAGGAAAAGGAAAGGAAAAUGAGAGGGAAAUUCUUGGUUCUACGCCAAGCUUUCAACCUCCAAUCGACUUCUUCUUCUUCUUUUCCUCUGAAAAAUAACUCAACUUUGAUUCCAAAAGCCAAUCUUUCAAUUUCCAGCACACGGGAAAACCUCAAUGCCUUGACGAUCUUCUCACAAUUUUCCAGAACUUUCUGUUCCUCAUCCUCAGUUUCGUCCAAUACGCGACAACGAUCAGCAAGGCUUCCAUUUGUGGAUGCAUUUUUGUCAAAAAUAAAGAAGAACAAAGAUCUUUUAGCCAAUCGGAAAAUUUGGUCGCGUAGAUCUACGAUUUUGCCGGAAUUCGUGAACCAGACUGUUCGGAUUUACAACGGGAAAACUUUUGUUCGUUGCAAGAUUAACGAAGGCAAAGUUGGUCAUAAGUUUGGAGAGUUUGCUUUGACUCGGAAAAGGAAACAUUUGAGAACCAAACAAGAACCUGCAAAGAAGAAGGGCAAGAAGUAAAUGUCUGACCCCUGCAUUUGCCCCACCCCGAAAUCGACAAUCCCAGUUCGGAAGGGAAGUAUUAUUCCAGAGAACGGCUUGAUUUGAUGAAACCUUGUUCAAGCAAUUAAAGGAAGAAAAUGGUUUUAAGGUCUCAUUUGUUACAUGAUUGUAAGAUUUUGUUUGGUCAGUUGGCCAAAGUUAGCAUAUUUUUUAAGUUAUCCUUUCUCACAAUAUACUGAUCAAAAGUAUCAUUUGAGAAGCAAAAGUUGGGAUGUUUUCAUGGUCCACGCAGGUUGAUUUGGCAAUAAAAUUGAUGUUCUCAAA